This is a non-coding RNA of Lolium perenne, 439 nucleotides long. The record is from RefSeq and is a predicted model, not a curated record. Lineage: Eukaryota; Viridiplantae; Streptophyta; Magnoliopsida; Poales; Poaceae.
AAGGAGAAGCUUAUAUUGCAGACUGUUUUAGAAGCCACCUCUGGUCAUUUCAACAUUCCUGAUGUAUUUAAAAAAAUGAGAAGAACAACCAUUCUACAUGUCAAUCUCCUAAUCAGAAAUAACUAUCAAUAUGUCAAAUCCAGAUUGAGGAUUCUAAUAAUUUGUCAAUUGACACAUCUGAGUACCUGAAGCUGUACAGAGUGAACCCAUGAGGCUCAAGUGUUACUAGGUUUGUCAAGCGCUGUGAGAGUCCCUUCAUGUUUGUGUUUUGCAAACACAAUAUAUUGUUUUCUUCAGGUGCAAACUAAAAGGAGGCGAUGCAAUAUAGGCCAACCAAAAUGAAGGGCGUCGCGUAACUGUAUACAAUCUAAUUAGUGAACAUACCCAUGAAAGUACUAUACGGAAAUUGCAAAAGUAUAUAUGUACCAUGUUGUUUGUU